Diabrotica virgifera virgifera (western corn rootworm) is the source of this 489-nucleotide long non-coding RNA. RefSeq lists it as uncharacterized. The transcript is spliced from 2 exons. Lineage: Eukaryota; Metazoa; Arthropoda; Insecta; Coleoptera; Chrysomelidae. The record is from RefSeq and is a predicted model, not a curated record.
UAUAAUUAAAAAAUGUUGUUAUCUGCAUUUUUGUUGGCCUUAUCAGCGCUGUUUUAAUAAUAAUUUUAAGUUUUUAUUUACCUGUUUUGAAAUUUUUAAUCUUUUAAAUCUAAUGUUAUUUAUUUGUUUGUAAUAUUUACGUUUAAUUGUUUGUAACAUUGUACUAUUUAUCGUUUUCAUAAUAUGUAUUUUAAAUUAUCCCGCUAUUUCAUAGAACUAGUGUCAUUACACCGUUGGUAAUUGCUAAUUAAUUAUAUCGUUUUAAACAACCAUGUAUUUCGAAUAAAAUUGUUGGUUAGGUGUUGUUUGUAUAUACUUAGAUCUAUUAUGAAUUUUAAAAAUAUGUUGUGUAUAUACAUGUACAUUGUUACUAGUUUCUUUGUCUUCCACCCAAAUCCCUGAGUAUUUUGCUAUUAUUUGGUUACUCUGAUGAAGUCUAUAAGCAUAGACGAAAGCUUAGACCAUUAAUAAAAAGGCACAUCCUACGAA